This 480-nucleotide ribosomal RNA is filed under the name uncultured bacterium. Its description in RNAcentral is "bacterial SSU rRNA". It matches the Rfam family "Bacterial small subunit ribosomal RNA", at positions 21 to 516 of the family's 1533-position model. The record is from RNAcentral.
GGCUCAGGAUGAACGCUGGCGGCGUGCUUAACACAUGCAAGUCGAGCGAUGAAGUUUCCUUCGGGAAACGGAUUAGCGGCGGACGGGUGAGUAACACGUGGGUAACCUGCCUCAUAGAGUGGAAUAGCCUUCCGAAAGGAAGAUUAAUACCGCAUAACGUUGAAAGAUGGCAUCAUCAUUCAACCAAAGGAGCAAUCCGCUAUGAGAUGGACCCGCGGCGCAUUAGCUAGUUGGUGGGGUAACGGCCUACCAAGGCGACGAUGCGUAGCCGACCUGAGAGGGUGAUCGGCCACAUUGGGACUGAGACACGGCCCAGACUCCUACGGGAGGCAGCAGUGGGGAAUAUUGCACAAUGGGGGAAACCCUGAUGCAGCAACGCCGCGUGAGUGAUGAAGGUUUUCGGAUCGUAAAGCUCUGUCUUUGGGGAAGAUAAUGACGGUACCCAAGGAGGAAGCCACGGCUAACUACGUGCCAGCAGCC